CACAAAUGGGGUUAAUGCCCCUAUUAAAGAGGUCCCAGAAAGCAGCCUUGUUUCUUCCACCAUGUUAGGACACGGUGAGAAGUCAACAUGAAAAACCAGAAAUCGGGCCCUCACCAGACCCUGAAUCUACUGGAGCCUUGAUCUUGAACUUCCCAGCCCCCAGAACUAAAACAUGAGUACACAGACUUCUCUAGCCAGCUUGAAAACAUGCUGGGCGAUUUAUCUGGCAACAACAUGUUGAAUGGAGUAUUCAUAUUAUUACCAUAAUCAGGUCACUUGGCUGAAGUUGGUACCAUGACGGAUUUGUAGCUGCUAUUAGAGAUGCCACUCAAGGCAGAGAGUCUUGUCUAGCUGAGUCAUUAAGGUAAGAAGAAAAUGAAGAGGAAAGAGGGGAGAAAUAGCCAACAUGUACCAAGAACCUGCUGAGCCAGGCAUGGAUGAUGUCAUCUUGUCUCCUGUGCCUGGAUAUUUCCUGAGUCCUAGUUGAAUAAAAAAUGCAAUUCUUGACUUGAGAUGAAUCAGUUCCCCAAUUUAUACUUCAUUCGUGGAAACUGGGUCUUGGGCAACAUCUCAGCAAUUCCUUCCAAUCUGAAGUUCUCUCAUCUGCUGGUAACCGGUCCAUUCCUAUUGGCGUUCAAGCAAUCACAAACACAUCCUACUUUUGAGAAAUGUUCCAAAGGAGGAGUCAAAGCGGCUGUAAUCUUGAUUCGGUUUUAUGGGCAAUAGAAUUAUUUUACUGAUUCCUGGAAUCAUGGCUCCUAUACAUCUGCACUCUAUGAGCACUUUGGAAAUUAAAGGAUUGCCAGCUUUUCCACUUUGGGACAAAAAACAUUUGUGCUAAACAGCCGGAAAAAGCAAAUGCCAGUGUUAAUCAAACCAGCAUGGAAGUUAAUUAGAACCUCAAGAACAAGCGGAUGGGCUUAGCACCUUGGACACAUCAAUAUCUUGUUUCUAAAGAUGACCUCAAAAGAUUGCAUAACAAUAAAGCCCAGCACAAGUCAGAAAGUCAAUCUACUGAGGUCCUACAAUUCUCUUCAUUGACCUGAACAAACUCGACUCUGCUUUUCCCUUAAAUUUCUGUACAGAACCCUGACAACUCGUCUAUACUUUCUGUUAUUGAUUUCCCCCAUGCGCCUAAGUUUCUUAUGACUUCUGGAUUCUCCUUUUGGCUUUGCAGAACACCCCUACUUCCAAACUCUAGAGUAAAAUUCCUGUGAAGACUGAUACCUCAGAAGUGACUGCUUCACAGAUAGACAUCUAAUUUUUUAAUUGAGAUUUCAACUAUUUAACACUUACCGUGUUAACUCAUGACACUCUCCUCCAUUUGCUCAUAAACAACAAAACAAUAACAAAAAUGAAUGCUCACUGAGUGCUACAGAAUGCAAACUAUUAAAGAUACAGAAAUAAUGAAUAGGACUUCUGACCUUGAGUGGUUGGUAAAUAAAACAGAAAUAUAAAAAAUGAAAUAAAUAAUUAGGGUUACUGCCACUAGAGAAACAGAUCACAGGCUACAGAUUACUACUGGCCCUAUGAAGCAGGAAGACAGCACAGGUAUAGCAAGGGACCUUUUAUAUGUAGGUAGAACCUUAUUGUAGGUAAUGGUGAAAGCCAGUGAGCCCUUGCUCUGGGCUGCUCUGGUGAAUUGGCACUCCCUUCACUGUUUCGCUGACUAGACCUCAAGUACCCUCCAUGAGAGACUAGGGAGGCCUUGUGGAGCUGUGUCCUGUUUUCUACUUGCAUGAAUUAUUUGCAUUGCUUGUUUGUGAGUUUUAGCAAAAUAAACUGAAUGCAGACAAUGCCAUGUCCAAGUAAUCUUGCUUGGCAAUGUUUGAAUCUCUAUCAGACUUUGCUGCUGCUUACUUUAUUCCUUCUCCCAGUUCAACCCCAGAAAAGACACAGGAGUUAAAUGACAAAAAGUGUGGGUCUGAAGAACUAAAUCAAGACUGUUAGAAAACACUGGGCAGAGAGAGGUGG
This 1974-nucleotide long non-coding RNA is filed under the name Homo sapiens (human). RNAcentral describes it as "HSALNT0315214". The record is from RNAcentral. Lineage: Eukaryota; Metazoa; Chordata; Mammalia; Primates; Hominidae.